UCAAACUUGCUGAUAGCUGGUUCUCCGCGAAAUCUAUUUAGGUAGAGCGUCAGACGAAUACUCCAGGGGGUAGAGCACUGAAUGGGCUAGGGGUCCUCACCGGAUUACCAAACCUUCUCAAACUCCGAAUACCUGGAAGUACUAUCUGGCAGACACACGGCGGGUGCUAACGUCCGUCGUGAAAAGGGAAACAACCCAGACCGCCAAUUAAGGCCCCUAAGUAACAGCUAAGUGCGAAACGAUGUGGAGGUGCUGAGACAAUCAGGAGGUUGGCUUAGAAGCAGCCAUCCUUGAAAGAAAGCGUAACAGCUCACUGAUCUAGCGCCUCUGCGCGGAAAAUGUAACGGGACUAAAGUUGUUCGCCGAAAUUGCGGACUCGAAAGAGUGGUAGCGGAGCGUUCCGUAAGCCUGUGAAGGUGAACCGUGAGGUUUGCUGGAGGUAUCGGAAGUGAGAAUGCUGACAUGAGUAGCGACAAAGAGGGUGAGAGACCCUCUCGCCGAAAGACCAAGGGUUCCUGCGUAAAGCUAAUCUGCGCAGGGUUAGCCGGCCCCUAAGGUAAGGCCGAAAGGCGUAGCCGAUGGGAACCACGUUAAUA
This 596-nucleotide ribosomal RNA is filed under the name Candidatus Woesebacteria bacterium. RNAcentral's name for it is "partial 23S ribosomal RNA". It matches the Rfam family "Bacterial large subunit ribosomal RNA", at positions 833 to 1435 of the family's 2925-position model. Lineage: Bacteria; Candidatus Woeseibacteriota. The record is from RNAcentral.